This 58-nucleotide ribosomal RNA is filed under the name Aspergillus nidulans. Its description in RNAcentral is "partial ribosomal RNA". The record is from RNAcentral. Lineage: Eukaryota; Fungi; Ascomycota; Eurotiomycetes; Eurotiales; Aspergillaceae.
UUGAUUGGUGUUAAGUCGAAAUAUGGUUCGUGUAAUGGAAAUUGCACGGGAUGAAUUA